Molecule: ribosomal RNA, 502 nt
Filed under: uncultured fungus
Lineage: Eukaryota; Fungi
Description: eukaryotic LSU rRNA
Rfam family: 5.8S ribosomal RNA (bases 150-303)
Source: RNAcentral
CGCCCGGGCUUCGGCCUGGUUAUUCAUAACCCUUUGUUGUCCGACUCUGUUGCCUCCGGGGCGACCCUGCCUUCGGGCGGGGGCUCCGGGUGGACACUUCAAACUCUUGCGUAACUUUGCAGUCUGAGUAAACUUAAUUAAUAAAUUAAAACUUUUAACAACGGAUCUCUUGGUUCUGGCAUCGAUGAAGAACGCAGCGAAAUGCGAUAAGUAAUGUGAAUUGCAGAAUUCAGUGAAUCAUCGAAUCUUUGAACGCACAUUGCGCCCCCUGGUAUUCCGGGGGGCAUGCCUGUUCGAGCGUCAUUUCACCACUCAAGCCUCGCUUGGUAUUGGGCAACGCGGUCCGCCGCGUGCCUCAAAUCGUCCGGCUGGGUCUUCUGUCCCCUAAGCGUUGUGGAAACUAUUCGCUAAAGGGUGUUCGGGAGGCUACGCCGUAAAACAACCCCAUUUCUAAGGUUGACCUCGGAUCAGGUAGGGAUACCCGCUGAACUUAAGCAUAUCA